GAAGGCUUAAAACACAAAAGAUUCCAGCUAGUUGGGUCAAUGAGUAGAGAUGAAAUGUUCUAGAUUCAGUUCUACCAUCUGGCACUUCCUAGGCGAGUGACCCUGGCCAAGUCACUUAACCCCCAUCACCUAGACUUUAUCAUUCUUCUGCCCCAAAACCAAUACUUAGUAUUUAUUCCAAAGCAGAGGUAAAAACAAACAAACAUAAAAGAAUUCUAAGCACAUAUUGACAAAGACUUAAAAUAUGGGACAAUAGGAGCAAAGCGCUUUGUAAAGCCCAAAGUACCAUAUAAAUGCUAUCAUUAUUAAUAACCAGGAUUAGUUGUUAGCCACGGCUACUGGCUAAUACGAUCCAUUAUUAACGUGGCUCUCACUAAUAAAUGGCGGGCUGUCUCAACGACUAAAAAGAAUUUCUUCGGAAACAGAGAAUAUAAAUACAAAGUAAAUAAAGUGCAAUGUGGUGGGGUGUGGAGGAAGAGGGAGCCCUGGGAGCCCUGGAGUGUGCACUUCAGUGUUUUCUAAAGUCCCGUCCAGCUCGAGACCUCUGCUCCCAUGACUCAUGUGACCUGGGAUUAUGGACGGGGUCCUUCCUCCCCUGGCAGCCACACAGGAAGAGCGAGGAGCUUCUGGCUUCCUGAACUGGACGAAGAGGACAAGUUAACUGUUGUUUACCCACCAGCAUCUUUCGAAAGGUAGCAAAGAAAGUUCUGCUGAGUGAAUGAGGCUGGUUGUUCAGGAAAGAAAAAGUGGAGCUCAGCCACAUUAAAGGGCUGGAGACACAUUCGUGAAAACAGGUAGACUUGGGGGAAGAAUGGAUUCCCCUCGCAACUCGUCUUCGAUGGGCAUCCCGCCCCGUUCUCGGUCCUCAUGCCAUGGGCCUGAGGGGAUGAGUGCCCCCUCAUAGAAGGGCAGGCAUCUCCUUUCUUGUAAUGAGAGCCAGACACGCGACUUGAAGUGAGGCAGAGCUGGGUUCAAGUCCUGCCUCAGAGCUUUAUUAGUUGUGUGAUCUUAUUUAACCUCGCUGGAGGUGCUGUCCUUGUAAAAUGGCAGGUCUGAAUGGGACCGCUAAAGGCUUCCAAUUCCAAUUCCGAAUCUGUGAUCCUAUGAGUUUGACUUGGGAGGUUGGAAUUCCCAUUUUCUGUAAUGAAGUUAGCAAUUUGCACAUGGGACAAUGCAGGGAGCCGGUAAAGGAGGAGAAUCGGGGACUAUGAACUUGAGCUCUGUGGGGCAGGAGGACUUGGAUGGACGACAGGACAAAUCCCUGUACUUUGUAUGGUCCAAAGGGAGGGCUUAGUCCAACAGAAAAGAAAAAGGGUAAAGUCUCUCUGGGCUUCUUGUUACUUGUACUUUAAAAUAAACAAACCUUAUCUUCUGCCUUAGAUAUUGGU
This 1388-nucleotide long non-coding RNA is filed under the name Monodelphis domestica (gray short-tailed opossum). RNAcentral describes it as "lncRNA (ENSMODG00000041387.1)". The record is from RNAcentral. Lineage: Eukaryota; Metazoa; Chordata; Mammalia; Didelphimorphia; Didelphidae.